This 495-nucleotide ribosomal RNA is filed under the name uncultured bacterium. Its description in RNAcentral is "partial 16S ribosomal RNA". It matches the Rfam family "Bacterial small subunit ribosomal RNA", at positions 28 to 507 of the family's 1533-position model. The record is from RNAcentral.
GAUGAACGCUGGCGGCGUGCCUAAUACAUGCAAGUAGAACGCUGAAGGAGGAGCUUGCUCUUCUGGAUGAGUUGCGAACGGGUGAGUAACGCGUAGGUAACCUGCCUGGUAGCGGGGGAUAACUAUUGGAAACGAUAGCUAAUACCGCAUGACAACAGUUAUUGCAUGAUAACUGUUUAAAAGGGGCAACUGCUCCACUACCAGAUGGACCUGCGUUGUAUUAGCUAGUUGGUGAGGUAACGGCUCACCAAGGCGACGAUACAUAGCCGACCUGAGAGGGUGAUCGGCCAAACUGGGACUGAGACACGGCCCAGACUCCUACGGGAGGCAGCAGGAGGGAAUCUUCGGGAAUGGACGGAAGUCUGACCGAGCAACGCCGCGUGAGUGAAGAAGGUUGUCGGAUCGGAAAGCUCUGUUGUAAGAGAAGAACGAGGGUGAGAGUGGAAAGUUCACACUGUGACGGUAGCUUACCAGAAAGGGACGGCUAACUACGUG